AUCUGAAGCACCUGACUUUUUUGGGUUUUAAUUCGUGUUUUUUUGUCAGUCUCUUCUGGGUUUUGUAUUUUGAUGCUCGGUUGGUUUUUGUGGUUUUGUGUUUUAAGAGGCAAUUCUGGAUCAGCUGUCUUUUGUCCAAAUGACAUCGUCAGGUUGUUUGCUCGACAGUCGACACAGAGAGAAACAAAAAGAGAAGAAGGCACAGAGACCCAUUUCCUAUUUGGUCUCCAAUACCAUUUUUACAAACCUCCAGCCAUUGAAUUCCCAUCCAAUCCAGUUUGCCAUUUUGCCAAUUUACGAUUCUAAUUCGCCUUAGUUUUAGGGAAUGAGUUUUCUCCUACGGGGUUUUGAGUUCAAGUCCCAGUUUGCUCUUGGGAUUUUCAUUUUGGAGUUUAUGUUGGAUAAAAUUCCUUUGAUCCCUUUGUUUCUUUCAUAUGGGUGAAAUUUUGAAGUUUCUUAGCAAGCAAAUCCCCUAAUGCUGCAAUCCAAUUUCUCCCUAAAUCAUCAUCAACAUAGAUUACAAUUACCUCUCUUCAUCCAUAGUAAUCAACCAUAUCGGCUAUUGCAGCCAUCUGAAACAAAUCGUUCUGAGUAGUCCUAACAAAAUAUGGGAACUGAAGUGAAGACAGGGUGGCAUCUGUUACUGCAAAUGACAAUAGAGGAAUAACUUCAUCUUAUCAAUCUUUAGGAAGAUCAUAAUAGGAAGUGCUGAAAACAAAAACAGGGAAAAAGGUUCCAAGAUCCAACAAGUUUCGUUUUCAAUCUGACUCAUCUUUGUUAUUAUUUAGUAAAUUGUCACUGGUUUCCAUUAGUAGAAGAUAUCAGUUACCAUUUUCCAGCAAACCAUGUUGUUAUCUUAUUUAUGUUGUAUGAAUUCUUGAUAUCAUUAUUAAAAUCAUACCUCACAAAUCAAUAUAGAUGGGUCCUUCUAUACCUUUUUAUGUAUGUGGAGAGCAGCUUUCUUCUGAAGGUUAAAUUCAUUGUCUGACAUUUCCAUUUGCCUUAUUGUGCUGGCCAAAUAAAGGAGGUACUUCUAAGUUAGAGUGAAAGAUCAGUUGAUUAACCAUUGAGUUAAGAAGAAAGGGGCCUAGGUUCUGGACCGUAUUGUGAUCACUAGUUUGUAAAACCCCCUACUCCUUGCUGCAGGUUGCUGAUAAACUGUUUGCUGCAAAAAACUACCUUCCAAAAGCCUUACUUGAAAUCACGAGCGUGGACAUGUUUAAAUCAUUAGGGUUUCAUUGCUGUAUCUUUUCUCAAGUCUGCUGAAAUUUGCCAAUCAUCUUAAAAACUAUAUUGCAGCACAGUGUCGUUGGUUAUCACAACGGUGGCCUUUGCCUCAAGGAUCGUAAUCUCAUUGAAAGUCUUUUCCUUGAGGGUGAUGUUCAAAUUCUGUGCACAACAAAUACUCUUGCUCAUGGAGUCAACCUACCAGCACAUACAGUAGUCAUAAAAUCAAGUAAUCAACACAACACUUGUAAGUUGGGAUUAUGGGAUUAAAUGUUGUUUCUGAUCAUUCAUCCACUCUUGAGACGGGACAGGGAUUGGUGUGAAUGAGCCUCCAUGGAAGAGCUGAUAUAUUGUUGUUGGGAUUGUAAGUAUUUGAAGUAUUCCAAGUAGCUGUAUAAGUUGGGAUUCUGGGAUUGAAUCCCAAUAGCUGAAGUAGCUUUACACCUUUCUAUCAUCUCAUCAAACAAUGUCCUCGCUGAAAUCAUAUUCCCUACACGAGUAAGAGAAGAAAACAUUCUAGUCCAUGCAAAACCAUCUCUCUCAGGCAUUUGAUCUAACACCUUAUGGGCUUUACCAAUUUGUCCCAGCUUCGAAUACAAAGCAGUCUGAACAAACAUAUGUGAAUCAAACUCACUGAAAUGGAUGGAAAUCAAGGCACAAGCCUUGGUCAAAGACGGAACCGUACAACUGGUAGGGAAGACGCUGUUCCUCAACAUCUUGAUGUACCAGCCUAAACCCUAAAAUGGGUGUUUGCUCGAGAUGCAAUGUGCACAAGAACCUAAUGGCUCUUGAGAAAAAAAACAACCAUAGAAACAAGUCAAAAAAGAAAACCCAAAUCAGAUCAACCAAGAAAAGUGAACUGAUGAUGCCUAUUUCACAAAGAGAGCCUGUCGUCGCCGAUCGAGAUGUUGGUUUAUCGGUCGAUUUCCGGCUUCUCUCUGGAGAUACUCGAGAGCUUCAUCAGUCUGAUGACUCGGCUAAACGCCGGGUGCAAAUAAGGUUCUUGGAGUACUUGGGUUUUCUGCUUGGAAUUGAAGGGCUUGAGGGAAACGAAGGCGUGCCUAUGGAUUUGAAUGUUGCUUUGACGUCAUCCUUGAUUUCUUGUUGAGCGCGACGGCGCUAGUUGAAUUUCUAGGCUUUGGCAUUGUUCCACAGCGCGAAUCGAAAGUUCGUGGGCGGGUGGUUCUGAAGCGGGUUGUGGGUAGGGUUCGGGUUCACCGGUGGCGCGAAAAUGAGGCACGAAAUCGAGAGAGAUAGAGAGAGCGCUUUGUCCUUGGUUUGAUGAAGUAGCAAUUCGAAGAAGAAGAAGAAAGAAAGAAAGAAUCAGUGAAGUGAAUCAAUUGUGAGAAAGAAAAGAAUUCGAAAUCAGUUGGAAGAAGAAGGUUAACUCCAAAAAAAAGUUUUUUGUUUCGGAAGUACCGCUUUUACCCUUCAAAAGUACAAGCUUGUUUACGGAAUUACUAUUGCCAGAUAUGAAAAUUGGGUCGACCUUAAAUUGUCAGGUGCCAUUUUGAUAUUUUUCAAAGUACAGGUAUGAAAAUUAAUAGUCUGGAAAAGUUCAGACACUGUUUGGAUGAUUUUCCCUUAUCAAAAUCAGUAUUAUGCCACUACAUUAACUUCUUUCCAGCUUGUUUAUUUUUAUGCCCUAAUUGCCUUAGAGCAUUCCUCAUUGUAGGUGUUGCCCAUUCUUUCGGGAUUAUGGCAUUACACUCUUUAUUCCCAUACCAAAUCUCUUCAAAACGGAAUCAUCUUGAACCCCUCUGAUUCCGAAUUUGCUUAGUACUGAUUUUCACAAGUAAAGGACAAUGAUCAGAUUUAUUGUGAUUCAUUGUUAAAACCCUAUUGAAUGGGAAGCGACUUCUCCAUUCUGUAGAUUGAAAACUUCUAUCUAGACGCUCCUUUGUGAACUUGUUUGCCCACGUACAUAAAUCGACUACCUUCAAACUCCAUGUCAAUCAGACUAGCGUUUAACAUAGUAUAGCGGAACUUUGCCAUGGCAGCUGCUCCUUUAGGAGGGCCUCCUGACUUGUCAUUCGACCACAUAACCUCAUUAAAGUCAUCAGCCAUAAGCCAUGGUAGAUGACAGCCUUCUGCUACAAGAUCAUUAAUCAAGGCCCAGGUAUGAUCUUUGUUUCUUCUAGCAGCAAUGUAACGUCCCAAACCUAAAUUUACCGGUUUACUAGUCUUUCGAUCGGUAAACGACAUUCACAUUUACUUUUGACUUCGUUUCGAUCUUUUAGGGGCCCUAAAAGUUGAUUUUUUGUUCGUAUCAAAAUUUGAGAAAACUUUCUUAAUGAAAGUCGUAGGAGACGUUAAACCGAGCAAGUGCAUAUGUGAUAUGUAAAAAUCGGAGUUCGUAUACGAAAGUUAUAAGUGAAAAUGUAAAGUUACUAUUCAUGAUAAUUUCCUAUAUAUGGAAAGUUACUGUGGUAGCUUCCAUUUUAAGAAAUUACCCUAGGUGACUUUCUCUCUCCCCGACCCGGCCACUGUUGCCGGCCGUUUCUUCUCCGUCUGGCGACGGAUUUGGACGUCGCAGGUGCCUAUGGAACCCUCUCUUCCUCCUCUCCACAUCUAUGGUCCUUUGGUGGUGUGAUUUGGGCCGUAGUAGGCGCAGCAAGGCGGUGAUCUUGGUGGCCAUUUCGGGUCUCCGGCGAUUUCUCGUUUUCUGGCCGUCCCACCACCCAUAACAUGGAGUCCUUGUCUUCGUGGUUCGACCCAUGCCCGUGGGUAAGCUCAAUUUUGCCGGAUUACGGAAAAUCAAUGACGAGAAGCAUCCCGCGGAUUUGAGGACGACGUAUCGAGCUACUGCUUGACGAAGGAAACCAUUUGGUGGUCGCCUAAACAAUACUGUGAGUGGACAUUUUAUUUUAAAUAAGGAUUAAAUUCUGCUUACUACCCUGUACUUUCAUGGGUUCGUCAGUUCAGUCCCUAAACUUCUAAUUUAAUCAGAAAGGUCCUUGCACUCUCCAAUUUCAUCAAAUUGAUCCAAUCCGUCACCACUCCGUCAAUUUUUACUAUUAAAAUGCUGACGUGGGACUUCUCAUAGGGAAAAUUCCCAAACUACCCAUCGCUAGGCAGCCCGCCGACGCGUUAAUGUUGUGAAUGCAGAUGGGUAGUUUGGGAAUUUUCAGCAAAAAUUGACGGAGUGGUGACAAAUUAGAUCGAUUUGAUGAAAUUGGAGAGUACAAGGACUUUUCUGAUUAAAUUACAAAUGCAGGGACUGAACUGAUGAACCCUUGAAAGUACAGGGUAGUAAGCAGAAUUUUUUCCUUUAAAUAAUUAUUCAUGCAGUAUUUGAUUUAUUUUAUUAUGUUCCAGUUGAGAUUUAAUAUGUGAUUUCACGAUAUACUGAUUUCCUUUAAUUGUUGAUUUAUCGAAACUUUCUAAAUUAUAUUUAGUGGCAUGCUGAUAAUUUUUGAGUAUUUGAUUUAUCAGGAUUUAUGAAAUAUGCUUAUGGUGAUUAUUGAGGAUUUAUGGAAUUAAUAUUGAGUUUUCUUUUUCGGAAGCAUUUAUUGAUUUUUGAGUUAUGAGAAGUAUUGAGAAGUGGUUUUCGAAAAGUAGUUGAUUGAGAAAAUAUUAUGAGAAUUAAGAAUUUUCAAGGAUUAUUGAGAUAUUGAGUGAUUUAUCAAGAUUUCUUGAUUUAUGCUUUCGACGAUUUACAGAUGAUUUAUUUAAUUAGUAUCGGGUUUCUUUCUGAAAACAAUUAUUUGAAAGAGUUUGAUUCCAGUUAUUGAGGAGGUAAAUAAGUCAACACAUGCAUGCAUUACCUGGUCGGCAGUCCCCUCCAGAAUAUUCCUGUCGACGGUUCCCUCCGAUGCGUCAUCUGGUCGGCAACCCCCUCUAGAUGGCAUGAGGCAGUUAGUCGGCAGUCCCCUCUAACCAUCACCUCCUCGUCCAGUCGGUAGUCCCCUCCAGGUGGCAUGAGAUGACUAGUCGGCAGUCCCCUCUAGUCAUUGCCUAUUUGAGAUAAGAAUAAUUUAAUGAGAUUUGAGAUUUGAGAUUUGAGAUUUCGAGAUGUUCGACAUUAUAUGAUUGAAAGUUUAAUAAAGAAGAUGAUUAAGAGUGUUUUCAAGAUUUUUACUGCAUGCGAGGUUUUAGAGAGUAACUUGCGAAAGCAUUAAGUUUCACUUGUUCAUUCAAAAUUACUUUUUUUUUUUGUCCACUCACUCUAACGAUUUUCAAAUGCUUUUCCCCUGGGCUCUUCGGUUUCAAAUGCCCAGUUUUGCAGGCCAGAUUAGCUUGAGGCAUAGAUGUCAUAGCUUCCGCAUUAUAAAAAGUAUCGGUCAUUUAUCUUGUAUUCUAUCCUCUUGUACACCAUGUCAUUAGAUUGCUCUGAUAAUCCAUGAAAUUAAUAUUAUUAAGUUCAGAAUUGUUUUGUGAAAUUGGAGAUGUUGUGAUUUUAGGGAGCAUGGUGGCUCUAAAAGAAUAGGGUGGGAUUGUUUGGAAGUGUUUUGUUUUUCUACAGGUUUUUAGGUAGUCCGUUUUAAAAGAGGUCUCGCCAAAUUUUUGGUAGAAUUUCUUCUAAGAUGGACUCCGCAUGGCCACUUCGGAUUUCAGGGUGAAAUUUGGGGCGAGUCCUGUCAGGCAAAGCUACAUAUGCCAGUUAAAUGCCAAGUUGCUUCUCCUGGCCUAUUGAUUUCUGCAUCAAUGUGAUGCAAAGAGUGAGUUUGUAGGUUCACAUGAAUAUCAUCAUUCCAUGUGAUCGCUAGCCCCUGUGAAUCCUCUUCGUGAUCAACACAGAAACUUCUUUUAAAUCCCUAAAGGUUUGUGAGAGAGUCAGUCAAACCCUUGCAGGCUAGGGUUUUCGGAAAAAAUAUAAGGGAGUCCUGUCAGGCAAAGCUACAUAUGCCAGUUAAAUGCCAAGUUGCUUCUCCUGGCCUAUUGAUUUCUGCAUCAAUGUGAUGCGAAGAGUGAGUUCGUAGGUUCACAUGAAUAUCAUCAUUCCAUGUGAUCGCUAGCCCCUGUGAAUCCUCUUCGUGAUCAACACAGAAACUUCUUUUAAAUCCCUAAAGGUUUGUGAGAGAGUCAGUCAAACCCUUGCAGGCUAGGGUUUUCGGAAAAAAUAUAAGGCAUGGUUUCUUUGCUUGAACAAGAUUGAUGAGAGCUCUUUGUGUUUUUGUGUUUAUAAUUCCUCGACAAUUCCACACUAGAACACUACCCUGUAGCAUGGUUGAAGAGGAUGGUGCCACCACAAGGCGCAGUGGUUUACAGCGUCGCACAACAUAAGGUUCUGACAGCGCUUAGGGUUUUUCCAGCUAGUAUAAUUGAGAAAAUUUUAUUUACUUAAUUUGUUUCUGUCAUAUAUUUAUCUUCCAUCUUGGUCCUUGUUUAAGGAACAUAUUUGGUUCUCUCUUCUUCUUUUUUGUUUGUUUUGUGUUUGGCAUAGAAUAAUUAUGGGUCCUCUUGUACAAGAGCAUUUCUUGUAAACAUAGAUAGUAGUCAACUGUUGGAUGAUUGUUUCAGAAAACAGCUUUUGAUUGAUAGAAUUUUAGUUGGGUGUGCUUUUGAGAGUGCUAAAGGGCCGCAAUGGAUGGUAGCAUGGGUAUGUUAACUAGUUAUGGGUUAUGGGCUUGUUAACAUAGGUUGUGUCAAUUUCUUGGCAAGUACUUGUGGUUGACUACUUGAGUAUGCUUUUUAGUCUCCCUAUGUAGUACCUAUUUUGCUCUAUUGAAGGAAUUGUCUCUUGUUUCUUGUCUUGU
Long non-coding RNA from Rosa chinensis, 6926 nucleotides. RefSeq lists it as uncharacterized. NCBI's taxonomy places the organism in Eukaryota, Viridiplantae, Streptophyta, Magnoliopsida, Rosales, Rosaceae. The record is from RefSeq and is a predicted model, not a curated record. The transcript has 5 exons.